RNAcentral lists this ribosomal RNA (490 nucleotides) under uncultured bacterium. RNAcentral describes it as "partial 16S ribosomal RNA". It matches the Rfam family "Bacterial small subunit ribosomal RNA", at positions 30 to 507 of the family's 1533-position model. The record is from RNAcentral.
AUUGAACGCUGGCGGCAGGCCUAACACAUGCAAGUCGAAUGGUAACAGGAAACAGCUUGCUGUUUCGCUGACGAGUGGCGGACGGGUGAGUAAUGUCUGGGAAACUGCCUGAUGGAGGGGGAUAACUACUGGAAACGGUAGCUAAUACCGCAUAACGUCGCAAGACCAAAGAGGGGGACCUUCGGGCCUCUUGCCAUCAGAUGUGCCCAGAUGGGAUUAGCUAGUAGGUGGGGUAACGGCUCACCUAGGCGACGAUCCCUAGCUGGUCUGAGAGGAUGACCAGCCACACUGGAACUGAGACACGGUCCAGGCUCCUACGGGAGGCAGCAGUGGGGAAUAUUGCACAAUGGGCGCAAGCCUGAUGCAGCCAUGCCGCGUGUAUGAAGAAGGCCUUCGGGCUGUAAAGUACUUUCAGCGGGGAGGAAGGGAGUAAAGUUAAUACCUUUGCUCAUUGACGUUACCCGCAGAAGAAGCACCGGCUAACUCCGUG